AGCAAGACCGACCCGACACCCGACGGGUCCACGACGACGUUGAUGUAUCUUGUUGGAGAUCGGACGAAGAUUUUCUCGCGUUAGUUGUGUUUUUGUGCAAUUUUGUCUGUGGAAAAGUGCUUUUGGAUUGUGGAAAUUUGCAGAAUUCUGGUAAACGGUGCUGAUCGAUUUGUACGAUGAGUUAUCAAUUACCACCGCAAAAUCGAACGAUGCCGCACAAUCAGUAUAAUCCGCCCGAUCUACCCAUGGCGUCUGCCAAGGAACAGACACUCAUGUGGCAACAGAAUUCAUAUCUAUGUGAUUCUGGAAUACAUUCGGGCGCUGUCACUCAAGUGCCAUCAUUGAGCGGCAAAGAAGACUUAGAAGAUAUGGAAGGUGAUCCUCUAAUGUUCGAUUUAGAUCAAGGAUUCCCACAGAAUUUCACUCAAGACCAAGUGGAUGAUAUGAAUCAACAGUUGAGUCAGACACGCUCUCAGCGUGUUCGAGCUGCUAUGUUUCCAGAAACAUUGGAGGAAGGCAUUGAGAUCCCAUCAACACAAUACGAUCCACAGCAGCCAACUGCAGUUCAACGUUUAGCCGAACCGUCGCAAAUGCUUAAGCAUGCAGUUGUGAAUUUGAUCAAUUAUCAAGAUGAUGCUGAGCUUGCUACACGAGCUAUUCCUGAAUUGAUAAAAUUGUUAAACGACGAGGAUCAAGUAGUUGUUUGUAACGCUGCUAUGAUGGUACAUCAAUUAUCAAAGAAAGAGGCUUCCCGACAUGUUAUCAUGAAUAGCCCACAAAUGGUUGCAGCUUUGGUAAGAGCUAUCGCGAACAGUAACGAUUUGGAAACGACAAAAGGGGCCGUCGGAACGCUACACAAUUUAUCUCACCACAGCCAAGGUCUUUUGGCUAUAUUUAAAAGUGGAGGAAUUCCGGCCCUUGUGAAGCUACUCUCGUCUCCAGUUGAAGCGGUUUUGUUUUAUGCUAUAACGACUUUGCAUAAUCUAUUGCUGCAUCAAGAUGGUUCGAAAAUGGCAGUUCGUUUAGCCGGUGGUCUUCAAAAGAUGGUGACACUUUUGCAAAGGAACAAUGUGAAAUUCUUGGCUAUUGUGACAGACUGCUUGCAAAUUCUAGCGUAUGGUAAUCAGGAGAGCAAAUUGAUUAUUCUAGCAUCUGGAGGACCACAUGAACUUGUACGAAUCAUGCGCACAUAUGACUAUGAGAAGUUGCUUUGGACAACAUCACGUGUAUUGAAAGUUUUGUCGGUAUGCUCGAGCAAUAAACCUGCAAUUGUGGAUGCAGGGGGUAUGCAAGCGUUAGCCAUGCAUUUGAGUAAUCCAUCGCAGCGUCUAGUGCAGAAUUGUUUGUGGACUCUCCGUAAUUUAUCAGAUGCAGCAACGAAAGUGGAAGGAUUAGAUGGCCUGUUGCAUAGCUUAGUGCAAGUGUUAGCAUCGACAGAUGUUAACGUUGUAACUUGUGCUGCAGGCAUCCUUUCAAAUUUGACAUGUAAUAAUCAACGUAAUAAGGGUACCGUUUGUCAAGUUGGCGGAGUUGAUGCUCUGGUUCGAACCAUCAUUAAUGCUGGCGAUCGCGAAGAAAUCACAGAACCAGCUGUUUGCGCAUUAAGACACUUGACAUCACGUCAUAUCGAUUCAGAGAUGGCACAAAACGCGGUGCGUUUGAAUUACGGUUUAUCAGUGAUUGUGAAACUUCUCCAAUCUCCAUCGCGUUGGCCAUUGAUUAAGGCAGUUAUUGGAUUAAUUCGUAAUUUGGCUUUAUGCCCGGCAAAUCAUGCACCGCUGCGAGAACAUGGAGCUAUACAUCAGUUGGUUAGGUUGUUGAUGAGAGCCUAUCAGGAUAUUGAAAGGCAACGUUCUUCAGUAGCAAGCACAGGAUCGCAACAGCCUAGCGCUUACGCUGACGGAGUAAGAAUGGAGGAGAUCGUUGAAGGCACUGUUGGUGCUUUGCAUAUUUUGGCAAGAGAAUCACAUAAUCGUGCAUUGAUUCGUCAACAAGCUGUCAUUCCUAUCUUCGUGCGAUUGUUAUUCAAUGAAAUUGAGAAUAUUCAGCGUGUCGCUGCCGGUGUACUUUGCGAGUUGGCUGCCGAUAAAGAAGGAGCUGAAAUUAUUGAGCAAGAAGGCGCUACUGGCCCGUUGACUGAUUUACUUCAUUCCCGAAAUGAAGGGGUUGCCACAUACGCUGCAGCCGUUCUGUUUCGCAUGAGCGAAGACAAGCCACAAGAUUAUAAGAAACGUUUAUCCAUCGAGCUCACAAAUUCCCUCUUGCGUGAAGAUAACAAUAUCUGGAACAAUGAUUUGGGAAUGGGGCCUGAUUUACAGGACAUGCUUGGCCCCGAUCAAGCAUAUGAGGGCUUGUAUGGACAAGGGCCUCCAAGCGUUCAUAGCUCGCAUGGUGGUCGGGCAUUUCAGCAAGCUAAGCCAGCCUAACAUAUAUCAUCACUAAAUCGUAAAUCGAAUCGAGUUGGUUCGUCGGAAAAAUAAUCAAAUAAUAGUAGUAGGACAGACAAAAAAGUAAAAGUGUAUGCAGAUAAACAGACAAAAAAUAUAAACUUAAAAAGCAGUAUCUUGUGGAGUAAAACAUUUAACUAAAUAUCUCAAAUCAACAUAGAAACCUUCAAACAGAUAAACAACAAAAAAAGUAUGAAAAAAACCUAGUCUACGUAAUUUUAUAAUCAGUUUUGUCUUUCUGUGAAUUCUGAAACUUACGUACGUAAUUUGUAAAUUGAAUCGAGAGCAAAGAAGCGUAUUAAAGGCAAAAUACAAUUAUAGGAUAUGAUACAUUACCGAUAGAUUCAAUGCAAGGUUUGGAGAUAGGAGGCGCUGGUGGAGGCGGAAAUGGGCCGCCAGGAGGUGCACCAACCUCACCAUAUGCUAUGGAUAUGGAUGUUGGCGAGAUGGGAGCGGGC
This 2905-nucleotide unclassified non-coding RNA is filed under the name Hermetia illucens (black soldier fly). Its description in RNAcentral is "armadillo segment polarity protein, transcript variant X2". The record is from RNAcentral. Lineage: Eukaryota; Metazoa; Arthropoda; Insecta; Diptera; Stratiomyidae.